UGCUUCGGCUACUCACAGUGAGGUUAUUGUAGUUUGACUGCACGUAUACAUGGUCUCUAGACAUACGGGUCCAUGCAAUGUAGAUUGGCUGCAAUAGGUUCACUGUAGGAGUAGGGUAUGCACCUAUAUGGAAUCUAUCGACCUUGGUAGAUAAGGAGAGAUCCUAUGUGAUUUAUAAGACUGAGUUCGUAAGACCUCGGCCAGGGCAGUAUACACAGUGGAGAAAGAGUUUUCCACUCUCGAACUUAAGUCGAAUGAAUCUUGACAUAUGACAGACGAUGGGGUUUGACGAGUUGUCCAUGACCUCCAUCCUGUAGGGAUCUACGAUAGAAGGACUAUAUCAUACGAUAACUGCACCUAGAGGUUCAUCAUUCCAUUCUGUUGGGUAGCCACUACAUGCUGCUAGGUGUCACUGGUGGAUGGUGAGAC
RNAcentral lists this long non-coding RNA (429 nucleotides) under Phoenix dactylifera (date palm). Its description in RNAcentral is "long non-coding RNA (PDAC_LNC012080)". Lineage: Eukaryota; Viridiplantae; Streptophyta; Magnoliopsida; Arecales; Arecaceae. The record is from RNAcentral.